RNAcentral lists this ribosomal RNA (406 nucleotides) under uncultured bacterium. Its description in RNAcentral is "partial 16S ribosomal RNA". It matches the Rfam family "Bacterial small subunit ribosomal RNA", at positions 30 to 526 of the family's 1533-position model. The record is from RNAcentral.
AUUGAACGCUGGCGGCAGGCCUAACACAUGCAAGUCGAACGAGGGGCGGACGGGUGAGUAACACGUGGGAACCUACCCAUAAGAGGGGGAUAACACUUGGAAACUGGUGCUAAUACCGCAUACUGAUGGAUGGACUCGCGGUGCAUUAGCUAGUUGGUGGGGUAACGGCUCACCAAGGCUACGAUGCAUAGCCGACCUGAGAGGGUGAUCGGCCACACUGGGACUGAGACACGGCCCAGACUCCUACGGGAGGCAGCAGUGGGGAAUAUUGCACAAUGGGCGCAAGCCUGAUACAGCCAUGCCGCGUGUAUGAAGAAGGCCUUCGGGUUGUAAAGUACUUUCAGCGAGGAGGCGUUACUCGCAGAAGAAGCACCGACUAACUCCGUGCCAGCAGCCGCGGUAAUUC